Molecule: ribosomal RNA, 494 nt
Filed under: uncultured bacterium
Lineage: Bacteria
Description: bacterial SSU rRNA
Rfam family: Bacterial small subunit ribosomal RNA
Source: RNAcentral
AAAUGAAUUGACGGGGGCCCGCACAAGCGGAGGAACAUGUGGUUUAAUUCGAUGAUACGCGAGGAACCUUACCUGGGCUUAAAUGUUGAGUGCAUGGGGUAGAAAUAUCCCUUCCCUUCGGGGCUUUCAGCAAGGUGCUGCAUGGUUGUCGUCAGCUCGUGCCGUGAGGUGUCGGGUUAAGUCCCAUAACGAGCGCAACCCUUAUCGUUAGUUGCCAGCGGGUAAUGCCGGGAACUCUAGCGAAACUGCCGGUGUAAACCGUGAGGAAGGUGGGGAUGACGUCAAAUCAGCACGGCCCUUAUGUCCAGGGCCACACACGUGUUACAAUGGCCGGUACAGAGGGCAGCUACCUGGAGACAGGAUGCGAAUCUCCAAAGCCGGUCUCAGUUCGGAUCGGAGUCUGCAACUCGACUCCGUGAAGCUGGAUUCGCUAGUAAUCGCGCAUCAGCCACGGCGCGGUGAAUACGUUCCCGGGCCUUGUACACACCGCCCGU